This 651-nucleotide ribosomal RNA is filed under the name uncultured bacterium. RNAcentral describes it as "bacterial SSU rRNA". It matches the Rfam family "Bacterial small subunit ribosomal RNA", at positions 8 to 652 of the family's 1533-position model. The record is from RNAcentral.
AGAGUUUGAUCCUGGCUCAGAUUGAACGCUGGCGGCAUGCCUUACACAUGCAAGUCGAACGGCAGCACGGGAGCAAUCCUGGUGGCGAGUGGCGAACGGGUGAGUAAUAUAUCGGAACGUGCCCAGUCGUGGGGGAUAACGCAGCGAAAGCUGUGCUAAUACCGCAUACGAUCUCUGGAUGAAAGCGGGGGACUCGUAAGAGCCUCGCGCGAUUGGAGCGGCCGAUAUCAGAUUAGCUAGUUGGUGGGGUAAAGGCCCACCAAGGCGACGAUCUGUAGCUGGUCUGAGAGGACGACCAGCCACACUGGAACUGAGACACGGUCCAGACUCCUACGGGAGGCAGCAGUGGGGAAUUUUGGACAAUGGGCGCAAGCCUGAUCCAGCAAUGCCGCGUGCAGGAUGAAGGCCUUCGGGUUGUAAACUGCUUUUGUACGGAACGAAAAGGUCUGCCUUAAUACGGUGGGCCCAUGACGGUACCGUAAGAAUAAGCACCGGCUAACUACGUGCCAGCAGCCGCGGCAAUACGUAGGGUGCGAGCGUUAAUCGGAAUUACUGGGCGUAAAGCGUGCGCAGGCGGUUAUAUAAGACAGAUGUGAAAUCCCCGGGCUCAACCUGGGACCUGCAUUUGUGACUGUAUAGCUAGAGUACGGU